Molecule: long non-coding RNA, 619 nt
Organism: Ailuropoda melanoleuca (giant panda)
Lineage: Eukaryota; Metazoa; Chordata; Mammalia; Carnivora; Ursidae
Exons: 2
Source: RefSeq, a predicted model, not a curated record
ACCCGGCUUGUCAAGAAGUGGCCAGCCUCGCCCUCUACCAACCUCUGAGAUCCCAGGCCAUGCUGUGGCUCCGUCAGGCGCUGCCGGACACUGCACUGCAGGGUGGGAGCUGCAAAGAGAGGGAAGAAAGGCGUGUGGACAACAAAGAACCAGCUGCUGGAACAAGGCUACAAAGCAGGCUCUCACAGCUGCCGGCCACCACACCGGUGAAGGGGAUCUGUGUGCACCAGGCAACUGGGGAAUGUGCUAGAGCAUCCCCCGGGCUCACUCUGGGCCAGGACACCAACUGUGCCUUAAAAUAGCCUCUGAUCCAGAGAAAAUUUCAACCAGGACACUAAAGGGUAAGUCCCUCAUUCGCAGAAGAUUUCCCACAGUCUCUUUGACUUUGCUCUACUCAGAAUUUCUACCUUUGUUUUUUUCUCCUCUACCCUGAGAGAUGGGCCGCCCUGCCUUCUUCCUAAAGAUGGGAGAGAAGGCCAGGUAACAAGGGAGCCGGAAGCCACGGAGGGGCCGCAGGGAGCGAACACAAUUCCACAGUGGUGAAGAGCUGGGGAGGCAGGGCUUCUAUGACUGGUGGCUUUCAAGGCAUGAAAGGGACGCAGAAGAGGGAGAAGCAGCA